This is a long non-coding RNA of Daktulosphaira vitifoliae (grape phylloxera), 458 nucleotides long. RefSeq lists it as uncharacterized. Lineage: Eukaryota; Metazoa; Arthropoda; Insecta; Hemiptera; Phylloxeridae. The record is from RefSeq and is a predicted model, not a curated record. The transcript has 3 exons.
UCUGCUUAGCAUUGAAAAAUUUAAAUCUUUCGUAUAUAAUGUUUUUACGAGAAUUACAAUAGUUCUAAAAUUUUUCCAAAUCAUUGUCUGCUUUGGAGGUUACCGUUAUAGCGACCGAUAAACUUCCGGAAAAAUUUAGACUGAUAAUGCACAAUGCAAACAUAUAUGGAGUUGAGAAACAUAUUGAGUUUAUAGUAGGCGAUUUCUUUUAAAUAGCAGAUCAACAUAAACAGACGUUGUCGUUAUGUCACCUCCUUAUAGUUCCCGCAGUUGUCCAAAAAAGAAAAAAUAAACAAUAGAAGACAUGCGAGCAAGAAAAAAACGGCUUCAAAAUUUAUGAAUAGGCACGAAAAUGUCAGUCUUUAUCAACAAAAAUUCACUAAUUGAAAAAUUGUUUAUUAUUAAUAAAUUGGAUUAGAUCUGGAAGUUUUUAGAGAUAAUUAUUGAUAUUUGAUACG